GUCCAGACUCCUACGGGAGGCAGCAGUGGGGAAUAUUGCACAAUGGGGGGAACCCUGAUGCAGCGACGCCGCGUGGGUGAAGGAGUACUUCGGUACGUAAAGCCCUAUCAGCAGGAAAGAAAAUGACGGUACCUGACUAAGAAGCCCCGGCUAACUACGUGCCAGCAGCCGCGGUAAUACGUAGGGGGCAAGCGUUAUCCGGAUUUACUGGGUGUAAAGGGCGUGUAGGCGGGGACGCAAGUCAGAUGUGAAAACCACGGGCUCAACCUGUGGCCUGCAUUUGAAACUGUGUUUCUUGAGUGCUGGAGAGGCAGGCGGAAUUCCUAGUGUAGCGGUGAAAUGCGUAGAUAUUAGGAGGAACACCAGUGACGAAGGCGGUCUGCUGGACAGCAACUGACGCUGAGGCUCGAAAGCGUGGGGAGCAAACAGGAUUAGAUACCCCAGUACA
Molecule: ribosomal RNA, 448 nt
Filed under: uncultured bacterium
Lineage: Bacteria
Description: bacterial SSU rRNA
Rfam family: Bacterial small subunit ribosomal RNA
Source: RNAcentral